Molecule: non-coding RNA, 115 nt
Filed under: Monodelphis domestica (gray short-tailed opossum)
Lineage: Eukaryota; Metazoa; Chordata; Mammalia; Didelphimorphia; Didelphidae
Description: Eukaryotic large subunit ribosomal RNA
Rfam family: Eukaryotic large subunit ribosomal RNA
Source: Rfam by way of RNAcentral
ACAUGAGAGGGUCAAGGUAAAGAAAUUCAAUGAAGCAUGGGUAAAUGGUGGGAGUAACUAGGACUCUCUUAAGGUAUCCAAAUACCUCAUCAUCUAAUUAGUGAGGCACAUGAAU